UACGGAAGGCAGCAGUGGGGAAUAUUGCACAAUGGGCGCAAGCCUGAUGCAGCCAUGCCGCGUGUAUGAAGAAGGCCUUCGGGUUGUAAAGUACUUUCAGUCGUGAGGAAGGUGUUAAGGUUAAUAACCUUAGCAAUUGACGUUAGCGACAGAAGAAGCACCGGCUAACUCCGUGCCAGCAGCCGCGGUAAUACGGAGGGUGCGAGCGUUAAUCGGAAUUACUGGGCGUAAAGGGCACGCAGGCGGUUAAUUAAGUUGGAUGUGAAAUCCCCGGGCUUAACCUGGGAAUGGCAUUCAAGACUGGUUAGCUAGAGUCUUGUAGAGGGGGUAGAAUUCCAUGUGUAGCGGUGAAAUGCGUAGAGAUGUGGAGGAAUACCGGUGGCGAAGGCGGCCCCUGGGACAAAGGACUGACGCUCAUGUGCGAAAGCGUGGGGAGCGAAACAGGGAUUAGAUAC
This 455-nucleotide ribosomal RNA is filed under the name uncultured bacterium. Its description in RNAcentral is "bacterial SSU rRNA". It matches the Rfam family "Bacterial small subunit ribosomal RNA", at positions 340 to 785 of the family's 1533-position model. The record is from RNAcentral.